Parasteatoda tepidariorum (common house spider) is the source of this 781-nucleotide long non-coding RNA. RefSeq lists it as uncharacterized. The record is from RefSeq and is a predicted model, not a curated record. NCBI's taxonomy places the organism in Eukaryota, Metazoa, Arthropoda, Arachnida, Araneae, Theridiidae.
GAACAACAGCAAAAUUUGAAGCAUAGAUCUUCUUUAUCAUUAUCAACUCAACUCUUCUCACCUACCUGGAUGUGAUGUAGAGGAUAAAAGCGAGAAGUCCUCAUGUGAGCUGGGAUUGGAUAGAUCUGGGUGUUCCAUAUUCGUUUGUGUGCACUCCCUUGGUUUAAAAACUUCUGUAAUAUUUUGAAGAAAUUCGACUCUUGUAGCCGUGCGGAGAGAUGAAUAGAUAUACUAUUGCUUUAAUUGUUUCCGCUAUACUGGGAACAAUUGGAAGCGUUUUGUUUAUGACUGUACCUAAUGAUACUGUCAAAUGUGUUGGCAUUGUAUUGACUAUUGGAUGUUCCUACCUUUUUUUAUUCUUCAUAAUCAUGCAUCAUAUAGCUAAUGCACCAAAAAUCACUGUUCCGGAUUGGUCGCAGCAGAUUUCUUCUCAAAGUCCUGUUGCAUAUAGGUCAGAGCAGAUCUCCUCUCAAAGUUCUGUCCGGGACAGGUCACAGCAGGUUUCUCCUAAACAGAGUCCUGUUCAUCAUAGGUCACAGCCGGUGUCUGCUCAACAAAGUUCCGUUAGGGAUAGGUCACAGCAGGUUUCUCCUCAACAAAGUCCUGUUCAGGAUAGGUCACAAUAGAAUCCUAUAUCAACUCAAACUUGAAAACGCUGAAUAAAGAUCAAAGUGCAAACUAUGCUGGAUUGGAGUUUUAGAAUAUUGUAUUUUGUGACUGUUUUUAAACGAUUUGUUUGUACUAUUUAAUCAAAAGUAAAGUUCUUCUUACAAUUUGCAAA